AGUAGCAAAAUGAUGAAAGAAAUGUGAGUGAUGACUACUUUGUAGUUUCACGGGAUCAAAAAUCUACUCGCUACGUUCUUUCUGAUUCUUAU
Non-coding RNA from Morus notabilis, 92 nucleotides. The record is from Rfam. Lineage: Eukaryota; Viridiplantae; Streptophyta; Magnoliopsida; Rosales; Moraceae.